This 417-nucleotide ribosomal RNA is filed under the name uncultured bacterium. RNAcentral describes it as "bacterial SSU rRNA". It matches the Rfam family "Bacterial small subunit ribosomal RNA", at positions 506 to 921 of the family's 1533-position model. The record is from RNAcentral.
UGCCAGCAGCCGCGGUAAGACGUAGGUGGCGAGCGUUGUCCGGAAUUACUGGGCGUAAAGGGCGUGUAGGCGGCCAUUCAAGUCAGGCGUGAAAUCACAGGGCUCAACCUUGUGACUGCGUUUGAAACUGGGUGGCUUGAGGACAGGAGAGGAAAGCGGAACUCCCAGUGUAGCGGUGAAAUGCGUAGAUAUUGGGAAGAACACCAGUGGCGAAGGCGGCUUUCUGGACUGUCCCUGACGCUGAGGCGCGAAAGCCAGGGGAGCGAACGGGAUUAGAUACCCCGGUAGUCCUGGCUGUAAACGAUGGGUACUAGGUGUGGGGGGUAUCGACCCCCUCCGUGCCGGAGUUAACACAAUAAGUACCCCGCCUGGGGAGUACGGCCGCAAGGUUGAAACUUAAAGGAAUUGGCGGGGGAC